Molecule: non-coding RNA, 1931 nt
Organism: Antechinus flavipes (yellow-footed antechinus)
Lineage: Eukaryota; Metazoa; Chordata; Mammalia; Dasyuromorphia; Dasyuridae
Source: the annotation of a RefSeq genome assembly
AAGCAAAGAUGGGCAGCUCUGAACACAAUGUGGAGGAUUUAUUGUAAAGAAUUUGUUUGUAAAUUUCAAAUAAAUAAAUAGUUAAAAAUAUGGAAAAAAUUACAUCAUUCCAUCCAUUUCUUCACGAAUGUGGGGGAGGGAUAGAAAGUUGGUUCCCCUAAACCAUACCAAGGAAUGAAAGGGUGGCUUGCUUUCCAUUUUAGGAGGCUCCAUUCAAAGAGCCCAAAGGAUCCUUAAUUAGUAGGACAGCAGGUCAUGAAUGGGACAGAGUGCAGGAUAUCAGUAUCUAUCCUAUGUUUUAUGCCUUCAGACUGUGGUCUCUUCCUAACACAAAAUUGAUUCUUCUGCAAUCCCUCUGGCUUUUGGAACCAUUUUUGUUUAGUGAUUUUGUCACUUUGUAACACAAUUUGGGGAUUCUUUGCAAAAAUGUUGGAGGGACUUGCCAUUUCUUUUUCCAACUUAUUUUACAAAUAAGGAAACUGAGGCAAAUAAGGUUAAGUGACUAGCCUAGACUCACACAAUUAAUAUCCAAGGCAAGAUUUGAUCCAGGAAGAUGAAUAUUCCCAACCACAGACUCAACACAGUUACACACUGCUAGCAGUCUCAUGAAAUAAUUAAAGCUGAUUAAAACAAAACAAAACAAACAAAAAGGAUAAAUAGCAUUUGUGGGAGCAUAUAUCAAACAAGGGUGCAAGAAUCAGGGAUAUAUUCAGAGUAUAAAGGUCUCAGGUUCUUCCCCUGAGCUGGAGGCAGCCACUUCUGCUCUCAGAACCCCCACACCUCCCAGCUGCUUUGCAUAAAGAGAUCCCCAUGGGGAGGGCCUGCAGACACAGGGAGAUAAACUGGGCCUGGGGGCAGAGCAGCCACAGGGGAGGAGUCACUGCAAGAUGGAGUCUCUGUCCCAGCUUCUCUGUGGGCUCCUGAUGCUUUGGGUCCCAGUUUCCAGGGGAGCAAUUGUGCUGACCCAGUCUCCAGCCUCGGUGUCUGUGAGCCCAGGAGAGAGAGUCACCAUCAGCUGCAAGGCCAGUCAGAGUGUCACAACCAAUGAUGGAAACAAUUACCUAGACUGGCUCCAACAUAGACCCGGACAGUCUCCUCGGGGACUCAUUUACCAGGUUUCCAACCUGGCCUCCGGAGUCCCCGCCCGCUUCAGUGGCAGUGGUGCUGGGAAGGAUUUCACCCUCACAAUCAGCAGUCUGGAGGCUGAAGAUGCGGCAGUCUAUUACUGUUCUCAAAGGUCUUAUCGUCCUCUCACAGUAUUACAGCCCAGAACAAAAACCUCCCCAGGCCUGGGCUGGCUGCUCAGGGAGGCCCAGCUGCCUCCCCUCCUUCCUCUGCUGCAGCAGCUGCUGGGGGCCUGCUCAGGGGCAGGGUCUCUGGGGCUGAUGAGAUAAAAGGGAUUCGGGCUCAGGGGAAAGGCCACGGUCUGAGAACUCGGGGCUCUUGGGACUCUUGUUCCUCUUCAGCCAUGAGCAGAAUCAUCAAAGAAAGAACCACUGGCUCAGACUGGGUCACCCCACAAUGCCCUGGGCCUGAGGCACUCUCCCAUUCCUAUUCCAUGUGACUCCCCUCGGCACAAGAACCAAAGAGAAAGUAGAAACUUCUGGCCAGAGAUUCUUUCUGUCCUUUCUCCCUGGCUCAAUAUUCCUCAGCAGUCAAUGACUCUUGGGACCAAGAACAUAAGAAGAUCAGGCAACAGGUUACUGAAAUCCAUCAUGGACCCAGCUUAAAAUUCACACUCUCCCAGCAGCGAGAUGUACGGGGCAGCUGCCCUGGAGUCAGGAGGACCUGAGUGCAAAUCCAGACUCAGACACCUCAUAUUUUCUAGUUGUGUGACCCUGGGCAAGUCACUUAAUCCUAAUUGCCUCAGAAAAAAAAUUCACUCUGGAUCUAUUUUCUCUGCCCAUGCAAUUAAAUCAGACUUUUAUCUA